GUGCUCCCUUCGGCAGCACAUAUACUGAAAUUGGAACAAUACAAAGAAGAUCAGCAUGGUCCCUGUACAAGGAUGACACACAAAUUCUUGAAGCGUUCCAUAUUUUU
Small nuclear RNA from Oryctolagus cuniculus (rabbit), 107 nucleotides. NCBI's taxonomy places the organism in Eukaryota, Metazoa, Chordata, Mammalia, Lagomorpha, Leporidae. The record is from RefSeq and is a predicted model, not a curated record.